This 468-nucleotide ribosomal RNA is filed under the name uncultured bacterium. RNAcentral's name for it is "partial 16S ribosomal RNA". It matches the Rfam family "Bacterial small subunit ribosomal RNA", at positions 28 to 507 of the family's 1533-position model. The record is from RNAcentral.
GACGAACGCUGGCGGCGUGCUUAACACAUGCAAGUCGAACGGAAAGGCCCUGCUUUUGUGGGGUGCUCGAGUGGCGAACGGGUGAGUAACACUUGAGUAACCUGCCCUUGACUUUGGGAUAACUUCAGGAAACUCGGGCUAAUACCGGAGAGAAGCUCCUGCUGCAUGGGGGGGGUUGGUAAGUUUCGGCGGUUGGGGAUUGACUCGCGGCUUAUCAGCUUGUUGGUGGGGUAGUUGCUUACCAAGGCUUUGACGGGUAGCCGGCCUGAUAGGGUGACAGGCCACAUUGGGACUGAGAUAAGGCCCAGAAUACUACGGGAGGCAACAGUAGCGAAUAUUGCACGAUGGGCGGAAGCCUGAAGCAGCAACGCCGCGUGCGGGAUGACGGCCUUCGGGUUGUAAACCGCGUUCGACUGUGACAAAGCGUGAGUGACGGUAAUGGGUAAAGAAGCAACGGCUAACUACGUG